CAACAAACCAGUUUUCUUUUGGCUAAAAUGAAACAUUCUGGAGGGAGAGAGUUUCUUCAGAUGAGAUGCCUGAACUCCUGAAAUCCUCCUGUACCAGAUGCACACUUUAAUAGAUAGGGUGGAGCUUCAGCGGUUCACAACAUAGUGUGUGGAGGGUUAAAAGACUGAACCAUGAAGUUGAUAGUGGAUGUAGUGUGGAUGAUAUGGGGCAUCGGUGCAUCUGUGUACGAUUACUUCCACACCAGCGCCAUGGAGGAGAGGAUCCACACUCUGGAGAACGUCCUCACCAUCCACCAGUUUCUCAUCGUGUUCCUCUCAGCAAGCCUCGUCCUGCUUAUCUCCUACAUCGUCUUUAAGAAGAAAUGACAUGCCGGAAACCUCGAAAACCUGGGAGCCUCGAGGAACCAUGAGACAACCACUCUGCUCCUCAGUGAAUGAGGAUGAUUGUAUAGAUAGAUGAACGGUUGUGUCAGAUUGUCUGACCAUAUCAAAUGUAGCUAUGAAACAUUGACAAGGUUUACAAUAUUUUGUAUUUAAAGAAAUACACCAUUUCUAACAUGUUGUUCUACAGAGACAGUUUUGUCUACCAUGUUUCUCUUGUCAUGACCUGUGGAAUUAUGGGAUUACAACAUAACUGUGCACUCAAUAUCACACCAUACAACAGAUUACCAGAACUCUCAAAAACUAUUUUUUCUUCCUCAAACCAAGUUCAAGUACGUUUUUUUUAGUACUCAUCAAUACAGAUACAGUAAUGAUUAACCUACUUAGAAUAUUAAUCAUGCUAAGUAGAUUAGCAUGCCACAAAUAACAUGUUAUGGCGCUUAAAUGGUCUCAUUAAUAGAUGGUGUGAAGGUGGCCAUCUUGAGGAAGCUGACGUUGCUCAAUGCUUGUCAUGUGCAACAGUUUCUCUUUACAGCUCCACUGUUAUUUUUAAUGACCACACUGGCUGAAACUGCUCUGUACGCUCAGCUCAACACUCUAUAUUAAUAAAGAUACUGUUUAAAUGCCGUGAGAUGACUGAUCAGGUGCUUGUAUUGUAAGAAGUUGCUGUAGUAGCAUGUUUGCCUUGCACUCCAGGGUUGGGGGUUUAAAUCCUGUCUCCACCCUGUGUGCACAGAGCUUGUAUGUUCUCCCAGUACUUUGGGAGUUUCUUCUGAGUACUCAGACCAAAGACUGAUUGGCAUUUCCAAAUUGCCUGUAAUGUGUGUGAGAUUUUGCCCUGCGAUGGCUUGGCACUCUGUACAGGGUGUCCCCCAACUUGUGCCCCGAGCUCCCUGAGAUAGGCUCCAGGCCCCCCUGUGUAGGAUAGGCAGUACAGAAAAUGAUGGAUGGAAAUACCUCCAGAUUGCUGGCAUUUUGUGUUCCCGAGCGCAGCAACAUGCACUAGGUUUAUGUCACACAUAGUAUCAGAUGUUUGAUAUCGGAGAUUUUUUUUUUUACAAGUAAAUCAGCAUGGUACCGGUAUUGGUAUUUAUGCAUCACUAAUUAUAUGUGAUUUGUCCAUUAAAUAUUAUUAUGCAACUCAUAUAUUAAUUCAUUCGAGUAGAUAGAUGAAUUCAAACUUGAUCAACUGCAUUACACAAGUAUUAAUCACAUCCUAACACAGCUAAACAAAUCAGAGAGCUUUUACUCAGUCUUUUUUUCCUUUUAUUUAGAAUAACCCACUCUAUGAUGUGUGUAUUUAAUGCCUACGAUUAGAAUAUUUUCCAAGUGUUCCCUACAUUUGCGUAAUGGUAAUGAAAACCAUUCUCAGACCUUCUGCUCACCUGAAAAGAGAAACACAAGAUAAAUACGAACACAAAGUUAGAAUAUUUACGCUUCAAUACAGCAGAACAAUAGCGAUACAUCAGUGAUUAUUUGAGAAGUCAGAGUUUGGCAUUCGAAUGUCUGUCAUAUAAACAGGAAGUGUGUUUGCAUGUGAGCUGUGAAACAGGAACACACGG
This is a long non-coding RNA of Ictalurus punctatus (channel catfish), 1943 nucleotides long. NCBI's taxonomy places the organism in Eukaryota, Metazoa, Chordata, Actinopteri, Siluriformes, Ictaluridae. The record is from Ensembl.